UAUUUUUAAAGGGCCGCGGUAUACUGACCGUGCGAAGGUAGCAUAAUCAUUAGUCUUUUAAUUGAAGGCUUGUAUGAAUGGUUGGACAAAAAGUAAUCUGUCUCAGUUAUAAUAGUUGAACUUAACUUUUAAGUGAAAAGGCUUAAAUACUUUAAGGGGACGAUAAGACCCUAUAAAACUUAACAAUAAUUUGAUUAAAUUAUAAAUUGUUAGUAUAACUUGAUUUUAAUUAAUGUUUGUUGCGUUGGGGCGACGGGAAUAUAAUUAGUAACUGUUCUUAAAUAUUUUAUUAACAAGUAUAAUUGAAGAAUAAUUGAUCCUUUAUUAAAGAUUAAAAGAUUAAGUUACUUUAGGGAUAACAGCGUAAUCUUCUUUGAGAGUCCUCAUCGACAAGAAGGUUUGCGACCUCGAUGUUGAAUUAAGGUAUCCUUAUAAUGCAU
RNAcentral lists this ribosomal RNA (440 nucleotides) under Penaeus monodon (black tiger shrimp). RNAcentral describes it as "partial 16S ribosomal RNA". It matches the Rfam family "Bacterial large subunit ribosomal RNA", at positions 1918 to 2558 of the family's 2925-position model. The record is from RNAcentral. Lineage: Eukaryota; Metazoa; Arthropoda; Malacostraca; Decapoda; Penaeidae.